GCUGGGCGAGGUGGUGCAUGCCUGUAAUCCCAGCACCUAGGGAGGCUGAGGCAGGAGGAUCAAGAGUUCAAAGCCAGCCUCAGCAAAAGCAAGGAGCUAAGCAACUCGGUGAGACUCUGUCUCUA
This 125-nucleotide small RNA is filed under the name Marmota monax (woodchuck). Lineage: Eukaryota; Metazoa; Chordata; Mammalia; Rodentia; Sciuridae. The record is from RNAcentral.